AAGCAAUUGAAGGAGACCUGCAGAAGAAGAUGAGGCAAACUGGAGAGUGGCUCGCCACCAAUGUUGAGCCUCAAAUUCACUCCAAAAGUAACUAUUUGCAAUUCCUUUCUUUUUAGUACUUACAUCUUCAUUUUAGUCACUUUUUAUACAUAAUAAAGUUUCAUGUCCCUUUAUGCCCUGGGCGACACGUGCUACAAUGGACGGGACAAAGGAUUGCGAUCUUGUGAGGCAAUUCCAAAAAUCCGUCCUCAGUUCGGAUUGUAGGCUGUAACUCCCCUGUAUGAAGCCGGAAUCGCUAGUAAUCGCCGGUCAGUCAUACGGCGGUGAAUUCGUUCCCGGACCUUGUACA
RNAcentral lists this non-coding RNA (349 nucleotides) under Cajanus cajan (pigeon pea). RNAcentral's name for it is "Bacterial small subunit ribosomal RNA". It matches the Rfam family "Bacterial small subunit ribosomal RNA", at positions 904 to 1387 of the family's 1533-position model. The record is from Rfam by way of RNAcentral. Lineage: Eukaryota; Viridiplantae; Streptophyta; Magnoliopsida; Fabales; Fabaceae.